RNAcentral lists this ribosomal RNA (253 nucleotides) under uncultured bacterium. RNAcentral's name for it is "partial 16S ribosomal RNA". It matches the Rfam family "Bacterial small subunit ribosomal RNA", at positions 524 to 776 of the family's 1533-position model. The record is from RNAcentral.
UACGGAGGGUGCAAGCGUUGUUCGGAAUUACUGGGCGUAAAGCGCGUGUAGGUGGCUUAUUAUGUCAGGUGUGAAAUCCCUCGGCCUAACCGAGGAAGUGCGCCUGAAACUGAUAAGCUUGAGUACGAGAGAGGAGGACGGAAUUCCCAGUGUAGAGGUGAAAUUCGUAGAUAUUGGGAGGAACACCGGCGGCGAAAGCGGUUCUCUGGAUCGAUACUGACGCUAAGACGAGAAAGCGUGGGGAGCAAACAGG